CAACUCUAGGGGGGGGGUGCUCAUCUCCGUCUCCAAGCCAUAGAGCCAGUGUUUGUCUGAAGACAGUGUGCUGAUCCCUGCAAUUUCCCAAAAUGUGGGAAACUGGACUGCAUAAUUUGUGGUAGUGAGGGACUGUGUUUGCGCUUUCCCCUG
This 153-nucleotide small nuclear RNA is filed under the name Pogona vitticeps (central bearded dragon). RNAcentral's name for it is "U1 spliceosomal RNA (ENSPVIG00000009190.1)". It matches the Rfam family "U1 spliceosomal RNA", at positions 42 to 166 of the family's 166-position model. From Rfam's summary of the family: U1 is a small nuclear RNA (snRNA) component of the spliceosome (involved in pre-mRNA splicing). Its 5' end forms complementary base pairs with the 5' splice junction, thus defining the 5' donor site of an intron. The record is from RNAcentral. Lineage: Eukaryota; Metazoa; Chordata; Lepidosauria; Squamata; Agamidae.